UGGCACCUCCUUUCUGUUAGCCGCCGGAUACCAGGGGAACACCAAGAGGGGGGAGUUUCCAGAGCAGUGUUGGAGCUGCUGUGAUACCUCUGGAAUACAGGAGAGGGAUGCAGCAAUGCUGGCACAGGACGCUCUCCUGAAGUAGCAACAGAGGCUGUUUUGUAGAGACUUUAAGAUGGCUCUUGAAGAAUUAAACAUCCUCAUAAAGAAGUGCUGCUUGUAGCUGGAACUUCAAUGUGGACCAUCUUUGAUUUGAAGAAAAUCACAUUUAGGAACUGUUUGUCUCACUAUGACUGGAAUAUUUAUCUUAAGAAGAGGCAUGACAGGAGGAAGACGUGUUUGGAUUCAGAAAUACAGCCCUCUAAUGAGAUGGAAAGGUGUGCCCUACUUUAUGUGCCUGUUUGCCUGAUGUAUGUGUUUCUUCAAACCCACAAGCUUAAAAUGUGUCACCUAAAAAAUAUUACACUCUUGGUGUUGGAAAUCUGGCAAGCGGUGCCUGAAGUAAAUUGAGACUCUUAAUUCUUCCCAGUACAUACAGAUAACAAUAAUUUUCAUUCUGUAAAAGUCAUGGCAGCCUACAGCUCUAGGACCUAAGCCUGAUAUCAUUGAUAUCUGGUGUAACUUUGAAAAAUAUUCUACUCAGAAAUCCAUUCUGGAGGGAAGAAUGUAAAUGUUGAACACCUUGUUUCACUACCAAGCUUACAUCUUGGGAGGUUUUUUACUAAUGAAAAUUCUUACAAGUUUUUUAUUUCAUAGGAAAUAACACAUUCCUGUUUAUAAUUUCAAAAAAGUAAAAAUAAUAAUUACCUUUUCCUAUGAUCAUUUCCACUACAUUUUACUGAGAUAAAUAGGGAGCUUUCACAGUGAGCAUCUAGAGUGACUCU
Long non-coding RNA from Zonotrichia leucophrys gambelii, 884 nucleotides. RefSeq lists it as uncharacterized. Lineage: Eukaryota; Metazoa; Chordata; Aves; Passeriformes; Passerellidae. The transcript is spliced from 3 exons. The record is from RefSeq and is a predicted model, not a curated record.